This 638-nucleotide ribosomal RNA is filed under the name uncultured bacterium. RNAcentral describes it as "bacterial SSU rRNA". It matches the Rfam family "Bacterial small subunit ribosomal RNA", at positions 1 to 638 of the family's 1533-position model. The record is from RNAcentral.
UAGAGUUUGAUCCUGGCUCAGAUUGAACGCUGGCGGCAGGCCUAACACAUGCAAGUCGAGCGGAUGACGGGAGCUUGCUCCUUGAUUCAGCGGCGGACGGGUGAGUAAUGCCUAGGAAUCUGCCUGGUAGUGGGGGACAACGUUUCGAAAGGAACGCUAAUACCGCAUACGUCCUACGGGAGAAAGCAGGGGACCUUCAGGCCUUGCGCUAUCAGAUGAGCCUAGGUCGGAUUAGCUAGUUGGUGGGGUAAUGGCUCACCAAGGCGACGAUCCGUAACUGGUCUGAGAGGAUGAUCAGUCACACUGGAACUGAGACACGGUCCAGACUCCUACGGGAGGCAGCAGUGGGGAAUAUUGGACAAUGGGCGAAAGCCUGAUCCAGCCAUGCCGCGUGUGUGAAGAAGGUCUUCGGAUUGUAAAGCACUUUAAGUUGGGAGGAAGGGCAGUAAGUUAAUACCUUGCUGUUUUGACGUUACCGACAGAAUAAGCACCGGCUAACUCUGUGCCAGCAGCCGCGGUAAUACAGAGGGUGCAAGCGUUAAUCGGAAUUACUGGGCGUAAAGCGCGCGUAGGUGUUUUGUUAAGUUGGAUGUGAAAGCCCCGGGCUCAACCCUGGGAACUGCAUCCAAAAACUGGCA